CCCUUAGAUGUUCUGGGCCGCACGCGUGCUACACUGAGUGGAUCAGCGGGUCAGGUUGCGCGAAAGUGUUUCCUAAUCUUUAAAUCCGCUCGUGAUGGGGAUUGACGGUUGCAAUUUUCCGUCAUGAACGAGGAAUACCUUGUAAGCGCGGGUCAUCAUCCCGCGCUGAAUACGUCCCUGCCCUUUGUACACACCGCCCGUCGUUCCUACCGAUUGAGUGGUCCGGUGAGGCUUUGGGAUCUGAGCGGAAAGAGCGUUUCGCUGUUUCUGCUCGGAAAACUCAGUCGAACCUUAUCAUUUAGAGGAAGGAGAAGUCGUAACA
Molecule: ribosomal RNA, 322 nt
Filed under: uncultured eukaryote
Lineage: Eukaryota
Description: partial 18S ribosomal RNA
Rfam family: Eukaryotic small subunit ribosomal RNA
Source: RNAcentral